GCUUGGCUCUGUGCCUCUUCGCCUUCAUUCACUCGACUGAACGCAGACCCAGCACGGGCAGGCGAACAAACAAACGAAGGAGCGAACAAACGCUAACCGCUCUCAGGGUCCCUGCACGGGGGCCAGGAGCUAAUGACAGGGCUAACAGCUAUUUAUCCUAAGCCGCAGAGGUUAAAAAUGCGCAGAGGAAAGCCCUUAUUAAAUGGGUCGUGGCCCAGAAAUGGGAUAGCACUUGAAAAAUAGUAAGAGAGGCAGCUGUUUCAUGUCGGGCUGAUGAUGUGACAGGCGGAAGUUGUUGAUGCAACAAACAAGCAAUCUGCAGGCAAUGUGGAGCACCAUGCCCAAGGCAGCCAGUAUAAUAGAGACAUAAGAGGGUUUCAGGUGGAAACACACAAAGAGAGGAAGAAAACAACAACGAUGGAGAGAAGGAGAGUGGAGUGAGAGAGAGAGAGAGAGAGAGACAAAAGCACUCCUUUAUUAAACCAGUAGCUCACACUGUGCCAUCAAUAAACCAUUAAAACAUGCCCAACAUUACACUUUUUGGUUGCCAUCCUUGUUUUCAGGAGACAGAAAGCACAAAUAUGAGAACCUUUACCCCACACUUUAAAAAGUCGUCUCCAAACCCCCCCCCCCCCCCCCCCACACACACAAAAAAAGGGACAGGCCAAAAAAAAGAGAGAUGUUGGUGGAUAAAUUAUUUGUCAAUAUCACAAUCAACUUGACAGUCAUUGAGUAUCAGAGAGCUGUGUGUACCAUCCCUCAUGCUUUGACUGGAUCACAAUAGACUGGCGAGGCGCUCGUGCUUUUGGCGGAGCUCAAUUGUGACAGGCUGUGUUUGUCUGUGUCCAGCACCCAAUCAUUUGAUGGCAAAUUACAAGUUGUUUCACUGUAUCCUGCUGUUGGAGGUUUGGUGAUGAUGGGAAUGAAUUAUCUACCUUCCUUGAGGACAUAUUCUUCUGCCCUGGAUGUGGGUCAGCUGGUGAAAAGCCUCUUGAUCUAUCCAAAUGCCACCCUGGAUGUCGGUUACAACCCACAGCGAAUUGGAAACGGGAAUAUAAAAAUAAAAAAAAUGGUCAAGGAUGCAGAGACAAGGCCAGGCAGCCAUGGGUUGUCAGGGAGACAAGUGACCAAUCAUUAUGAAGAGAGAGUCAAGGUCGCCAAAGGUUAAGUGUGGAAUUGAAACGAGUCUUUUCAGUCACGGCAU
This is a long non-coding RNA of Clupea harengus (Atlantic herring), 1204 nucleotides long. The record is from Ensembl. Lineage: Eukaryota; Metazoa; Chordata; Actinopteri; Clupeiformes; Clupeidae.